CCGAGAGAGCGGGUGUUCCCCGCCGGCGCCCGCCCCCCGUCCUCGGGGGAUGGUCUCGCCGGCGUUGGGGCCCCCUUUCCCCAGACCGUGUCUACCUAACCUCAGUUGCCUCGGCGGGCCUGCAGCGCCCGCCGACGGACCUACCAAGUUAAAAUGCUCAAAAGCCGUUCAUGUUCCGUCUGAGUGGGAUUGAUUAAUUAACGUA
This 205-nucleotide unclassified non-coding RNA is filed under the name uncultured fungus. RNAcentral's name for it is "sequence contains ITS1, 5.8S rRNA gene". The record is from RNAcentral. Lineage: Eukaryota; Fungi.